GUGUGUGUGUGUGUGUGUGUGUGUGUGUACUUUGUGAAAGGAUUACCACAGUCAACCUAAUUAAUGUUUUCAUCACCUCCCAUAGGCAUAAUUUUUUGGUGGUAAGAACAUUUAGGAUUUAAUAAAGUUAAAUGUUUUAGUAAAUUUUUAAAUUGUAAUAAUCACUGUUCUAUUCUCUACUUCUAUGACAUCAGCUGCUUAGAUUCCACAUAUGAGUGAGAUCAUGUGGUAUUUGUCUUUCUGUGUCUGGCUUAUUUCACUUACCAUGAUGUCUUCCAGUUCCAACCCUGUUGUUGCAAAUGACAGGAUUCCAUUCUUUUUUAAGGCUAAAUAG
Molecule: long non-coding RNA, 334 nt
Filed under: Pan troglodytes (chimpanzee)
Lineage: Eukaryota; Metazoa; Chordata; Mammalia; Primates; Hominidae
Description: long non-coding RNA NONPTRT001754
Source: RNAcentral